RNAcentral lists this ribosomal RNA (681 nucleotides) under uncultured bacterium. RNAcentral describes it as "bacterial SSU rRNA". It matches the Rfam family "Bacterial small subunit ribosomal RNA", at positions 10 to 693 of the family's 1533-position model. The record is from RNAcentral.
AGUUUGAUCCUGGCUCAGAUUGAACGCUGGCGGCAUGCCUUACACAUGCAAGUCGAACGGUAACAGGUUAAGCUGACGAGUGGCGAACGGGUGAGUAAUAUAUCGGAACGUGCCCAGUCGUGGGGGAUAACUGCUCGAAAGAGCAGCUAAUACCGCAUACGACCUGAGGGUGAAAGCGGGGGAUCGCAAGACCUCGCGCGAUUGGAGCGGCCGAUAUCAGAUUAGCUAGUUGGCGGGGUAAAAGCCCACCAAGGCAACGAUCUGUAGCUGGUCUGAGAGGACGACCAGCCACACUGGGACUGAGACACGGCCCAGACUCCUACGGGAGGCAGCAGUGGGGAAUUUUGGACAAUGGACGCAAGUCUGAUCCAGCCAUGCCGCGUGCGGGAAGAAGGCCUUCGGGUUGUAAACCGCUUUUGUCAGGGAAGAAAAGGUUCUGGUUAAUACCUGGGAUCCAUGACGGUACCUGAAGAAUAAGCACCGGCUAACUACGUGCCAGCAGCCGCGGUAAUACGUAGGGUGCAAGCGUUAAUCGGAAUUACUGGGCGUAAAGCGUGCGCAGGCGGUUAUGCAAGACAGAUGUGAAAUCCCCGGGCUCAACCUGGGAACUGCAUUUGUGACUGCAUAGCUAGAGUACGGUAGAGGGGGAUGGAAUUCCGCGUGUAGCAGUGAAAUGCGUAG